UGAUACUAAGCCAUGCGAGUCAUUGUAGCAAUACAAGGCAUACGGCUCAGUAACGCGUAGUCAACCUAACCUAUGGACGGGAAUAACCUCGGGAAACUGAGAAUAAUGCCCGAUAGAACAUUAUGCCUGGAAUGGUUUAUGUUCCAAAUGAUUUAUCGCCGUAGGAUGGGACUGCGGCCUAUCAGUUUGUUGGUGAGGUAAUGGCCCACCAAGACUAUUACAGGUACGGGCUCUGAGAGGAGUAGCCCGGAGAUGGGUACUGAGACACGGACCCAGGCCCUAUGGGGCGCAGCAGGCGAGAAAACUUUGCAAUGUGCGAAAGCACGACAAGGUUAAUCCGAGUGGUUUCUGCUAAAGGAACCUUUUGUCAGUCCUAGAAACACUGAUGAAUAAGGGGUGGGCAAGUUCUGGUGUCAGCCGCCGCGGUAAAACCAGCACCUCAAGUGGUCAGGAUGAUUAUUGGGCCUAAAGCAUCCGUAGCCGGCUCUGUAAGUUUUCGGUUAAAUCUGUACGCUCAACGUACAGGCUGCCGGGAAUACUGCAAAGCUAGGGAGUGGGAGAGGUAGACGGUACUCGGUAGGAAGGGGUAAAAUCCUUUGAUCUAUUGAUGACCACCUGUGGCGAAGGCGGUCUACCAGGACACGUCCGACGGUGAGGGAUGAAAGCUGGGGGAGCAAACCGGAUUAGAUACCCGGGUAGUCCCAGCUGUAAACCAUGCAAACUCAGUGAUGCAUUGGCUUGUGGCCAAUGCAGUGCUGCAGGGAAGCCGUUAAGUUUGCCGCCUGGGAAGUACGUACGCAAGUAUGAAACUUAAAGGAAUUGGCGGGGGAGCACCACAAGGGGUGAAGCCUGCGGUUCAAUUGG
Molecule: ribosomal RNA, 864 nt
Filed under: uncultured archaeon
Lineage: Archaea
Description: bacterial SSU rRNA
Rfam family: Archaeal small subunit ribosomal RNA
Source: RNAcentral